This 117-nucleotide non-coding RNA is filed under the name Cercocebus atys (sooty mangabey). RNAcentral also lists the same sequence under 3 other names. Lineage: Eukaryota; Metazoa; Chordata; Mammalia; Primates; Cercopithecidae. The record is from Rfam by way of RNAcentral.
GCUGGGCACGGUGGCUCAUGCCUGUAAUCCCAGCACUUUGGGAGGCUGAGGUGGGCGGAUCACCUGAGGUCAGGAGUUCAAGAUCAGCCUGACCAACAUGGUGAAAUCUCAUCUCUA